This 1302-nucleotide ribosomal RNA is filed under the name metagenome. RNAcentral describes it as "bacterial SSU rRNA". It matches the Rfam family "Bacterial small subunit ribosomal RNA", at positions 202 to 1498 of the family's 1533-position model. The record is from RNAcentral.
GCAAGGCCUUGCGCUCUUUGAGCGGCCGAUGUCAGAUUAGCUAGUUGGUGAGGUAAAGGCUUACCAAGGCGACGAUCUGUAGCGGGUCUGAGAGGAUGAUCCGCCACACUGGAACUGAUACACGGUCCAGACUCCUACGGGAGGCAGCAGUGGGGAAUUUUGGACAAUGGGGGCAACCCUGAUCCAGCCAUGCCGCGUGAGUGAAGAAGGCCUUCGGGUUGUAAAGCUCUUUCGGCCGGGAAGAAAUCGCAUGGGCCAAUACCCUGUGUGGAUGACGGUACCGGAAUAAGAAGCACCGGCUAACUACGUGCCAGCAGCCGCGGUAAUACGUAGGGUGCGAGCGUUAAUCGGAAUUACUGGGCGUAAAGCGUGCGCAGGCGGUUUUGUAAGACAGGCGUGAAAUCCCCGGGCUUAACCUGGGAACUGCGUUUGUGACUGCAAGGCUAGAGUACGGCAGAGGGGGGUGGAAUUCCACGUGUAGCAGUGAAAUGCGUAGAGAUGUGGAGGAACACCAAUGGCGAAGGCAGCCCCCUGGGUCGAUACUGACGCUCAUGCACGAAAGCGUGAGUAGCAAACAGGAUUAGAUACCCUGGUAGUCCACGCCCUAAACUAUGUCAACUAGGUGUUGGGUGGGUAAAACCAUUUAGUACCGUAGCUAACGCGUGAAGUUGACCGCCUGGGGAGUACGGCCGCAAGGUUAAAACUCAAAGGAAUUGACGGGGACCCGCACAAGCGGUGGAUGAUGUGGAUUAAUUCGAUGCAACGCGAAAAACCUUACCUACCCUUGACAUGCCAGGAACUUGCCAGAGAUGGCUUGGUGCCCGAAAGGGAGCCUGGACACAGGUGCUGCAUGGCUGUCGUCAGCUCGUGUCGUGAGAUGUUGGGUUAAGUCCCGCAACGAACGCAACCCUUGUCGUUAAUUGCCAUCAUUUAGUUGGGCACUUUAACGAGACUGCCGGUGACAAACCGGAGGAAGGUGGGGAUGACGUCAAGUCCUCAUGGCCCUUAUGGGUAGGGCUUCACACGUCAUACAAUGGUCGGUACAAAGGGUUGCCAAGCCGCGAGGCGGAGCCAAUCCCAGAAAGCUGAUCGUAGUCCGGAUUGCAGGCUGCAACUCGCCUGCAUGAAGUCGGAAUCGCUAGUAAUCGUGGAUCAGCAUGUCACGGUGAAUACGUUCCCGGGUCUUGUACACACCGCCCGUCACACCAUGGGAGCGGGUUCCGCCAGAAGUAGGUAGCCUAACCGCAAGGGGGGCGCUUACCACGGCGGGGUUCGUGACUGGGGUGAAGUCGUAACAAGGUA